AGUGCUUUUGUGACAUCACCCACCAGUACACCAUCCUUUUCAGGACCUCAUAUCUUCUUUGGAUGGUUUACUCAGGGGCCACCAAGACUCACUUUCAGAAGUGAGUGGCAACAAAGACCAGAAAUGAAAAGUUCUAGUACCUCAACUUUGGAACUCUUCCCACUUUGGCAUUCGCCAAGAACCCAGUUUGUGUUUAGACGGCAGGUAAAGCUUUUAAAUGGUAUUUGAUUUUUAAAAGCCUUUUAAAUGAUAUUUGCUGUUGCAGAUCAGACGCUUUAUUGGCUUUAAGUUUUAUUCCGUCGUUGCUUUUUCCUGUGAGUUGUUGGCUGCAUCUAACGGCGAAGUAGGAUAUUGAUAUUGUAAUAAAUAAAUCAUUGCAUCCUUUCCCCUUAAUUGGAAAUGAUAUUUACUCAAAGUACUGUCUAGAAAUAGGGAAGAGGCACCUGAAUAUAAUUCUCUGAAGGGAAGACGUCACUAAACAAAGUCAUAUAACUCAUCUCCACUUCCUACCCAGCCCCAAGAUGGCAUUUCACCUAGAGUUGCCAUAUUUCAAAAAGUGACAAUCAGGACACAAAAGUUCUUGAGAUUUUUUGGCAAAGUUUAUGAGCUAUUUUGAAGGAAAUUCCGACAUUGGUUGCCAUGCGCCCAGGUUUUUCUGGACAUUUUCCUGAUUUUCGGAAAUUUAGCCCAGACACUAUUUCCUACAGGCGAAUCCUGCCUAUGUCCAGGAAAUCCCGGACAUAUGGCAGCCCUAACUUCACCAGCCUGACUGUUCAUUGUGUGAACUUCUGCAUCCUUGGUGGAUUUAUAUAAGUCCAGAGAAGGUGCUAAUGAAGAUACUGAGAAUGAGAGAGGUCCCUGGGAAAGAGCAAUGGCAUGUGUAAAUCAAACAUGGGAAACCAGGAUCAGGAAUGAUUAUGGGUAGAGACAAGUGGCGGUGGCGGGGGGGGGGGAGCCAGCACAACAAGAUCUUGGACAUGCAGUUUUGGGCAAUACACUAUCUCUAUGGCAGAGGGAAGAACUGUUAUUUUUGGACUACAGUUCCUAUAACUUCUGAUCAUUGGCUGGGGCUGAUGGGAGCUGGGAGUCCAACAACAACCAUGUUGAAUAUGCCUAAUCUAGGGGUUCACCAUACAAUGGGGGACAAAAUCAACAAAGAAAGCAGUCUGUCCAUUAUUCAAGAAUGUACCACUGGACAAGUUAAUGUAGUUAUAUGUUGUUCUUGUAUUUACAAGAAAACCAAUAAAAAUUAUUUGGAUUUAAAAAAACAAAGAAUAAAAAAACAUUAAGAAUGUAUGUAUGUUGCCAGAUGCCUGUACAAUUUCAAAUGGGAACAUGUCAGGAAAUAGCAAAGAUAGGCUUUUGCUGAGUGAGUGUAAGAAUAAAAGGAAAAGGACAGAGAUAUAUAUUCCAACCCAGUUCCUGUGGGUGCCAUUGGGUGAAAUAUUCCUGCAUUGGACUAGAUGACCCUCGUGGUCCCUACCAACUCUCCAUUUCUAUGAUUCUAUGAUUCUACAUGAAGCAAGGACAAAGGAAUUUGGGCAGGACCGGUUUGGGGAUGUAAGAAAGAGGGACUGAUUAAAGAGAGGAUGGGAGGGAGGGAGAUUAGGCAAUGGACAGAGACAAGUGUGGCAAGAAAAUGAGACAGCAGAGGCCAAGGAAAAACUUGGUGGAGCACAGCCAGCAAUCAACUGGAAACGGAAAUGAGAUUUGUUGCUUGUUCACCAGCUCUGCUAAAGCCCAUCUUCAUAGCCCAUUUUUCCUUACACAUUACUGUCAUUUGAUGAGUGUCUUUUCUAGUAUAGCAAUUAAAAAUAACAGCACCAUGUACAAACACUGAGAGCAGAGGAUUUCCUUCCCCAUGCCAAAUGCUUAUUUUCAAGUGUUUCUAUAUGCUGUGCAAGGCAAUUUCCAUAACUACUUACCAAAUGCCCAAACCUCAACAGCUAAAAAUAAUCAUAAAGAGUGUAUGCCGUUUUGCUUAGGCUAUCAGUAAAGUGUAAUAUCCCACAAUGCCAGAGAGAUAUGGCUAUACAAAUUCAAAAAUGCUGCAAAACUGCACAAAGUUUCUUAUGGUCCAGAUGCCACUGCAUCCACGUGCUGUUUAUCUCCAAAUAAUGCCUUUCAAUUUGGCCUUGCCUAACUUGACGGAUCUAAUUCUCGGGGCUCCCAAAUUCAUUUUUACAUUCCUCUUUGUUUAAGCAAAACUUUGCACUUGCCUGUCAGGAGAAGUGCAUUAUUCCCUCCCCUCCAAAAAAAUAACAACUGUUCUGAACAACUGUUGUUUGCUUCGGAGGGUAAGAGCUAAGACAGCCCUUUGCAUGUUAUUUUACUUGUUAAUUAUCUACCCAGCAUUGCCCACAGAUUUCCUCUUCCCAACAGAAGCGUACAUACUGUGAAAUGUGGAAUUAAUAAUAUACCAGGCUGUGUCGUAUUAGUCACGUUACCCAGCACGGAACCUGUCUUGUGCUACAAUGUGUUCGGAUCCAUCGUGCUGAGAGGUACUGUACAAUGAAACCAUUCAAAAAAGGGGGAGUAACUUUCUCCCUAUAUAAUAUAUGAUGCUAUUUUUCCCACAGCAGUUUCAAUAAGUAAUGGUCCACGUUUUUAAAAAAAGGUAGUGAUUAAACACAAUGGGCAGUCCAUAUGAAGGAAGAAAAGGAGAGGAAGUAGGGAGUGAUAUUCUAACCACUCUUCACCAAUAGUAGACCGGUUCAGUCUGAUCUGAACCGUGGAUCUCAUCCGUGGUUGCACUGGCCAAUCCAGUGCAAGAAAACAUAACCAACAAAUAUAAUUUAUGAGCGCAAUAAGAAUACAUUCAAAACCAGCAUUCUAUGAUUCUUUAUAGAAUUGGAAAGGGACCACAGGGAUCAUCUAGGUCAACCCCCUACAAUGUAGGAAUCUUUUGCCCAACGUGGGGCUUGAACCCAUGAGCCUGAGAGUAAUAAUCUAAUGCUCUACCAACUGAGCUAUCCGGCAGCUAUAUGUGUAUGUGUGUGCAAACGCAUGCCUCUCUGAACAGACCUCAAGCAGGGUUGUAUAGCAUCUUCAGCAGCUGGACAAAACAGCAACAAGAAGAAACAGUUUGAAGUUCUAACAGUUCAAGAGAUUUCAAAGGCAUGUUCUGAUCAAGAUAAAGCUUGCAGUUCCUUGCAAACAUUCCCUGCUGCAUCCCAUAACAAUAUUGAGAACCCAUAGAAAUAUAUAAGUACUGAAAACAUUGAGGCCUCCUCCAGACUCCUAUGGAGCAGCUCCUCUGCCUCCUCUUCCAAACUGACGUCUAGAAUUUUUGCAGAAGAACAGGUUAGUGAGUACACUUCACUACUGUAAAGAAAAGGGGAGAAGUGGUCAGCUGAUAGGCCCUAUGCUGGUUUUGAAUGUAUUAUCCUGCUUUUAAUCAUGAGGAUAACAGCAUGGGUUUACAAUAUCGUAAAUAGGUCCAGUCGUAGACGACUCUGGGGUUGCGGCGCUCAUCUCGCUUUACAGGCUGAGGGAGCCGGCAUACAGCUUCUGGGUCAUGUGGCCAGCAUGACUAAGCCACCCACCAGAGCAGCGCACGAAAACACUGUUUACCUUCCCGCCGGAGCGGUACCUAUUUAUCUACUUUCACUUUGACGUGCUUUCGAGCUGCUAGGUUGGCAGGAGCAGGGACCCAGCAACAGGAGCUCACCCUGUCGCGGGGAUUCGAACCACCAACCUUCUGAUUGGCAAGCCCUAGGCUCUGUGGUUUAAUCCACAGCGCCACCCGUGUCCCUUGUUUGCAAUAUCGUACAUUUCCCUUUAUCAGUAAUUUUUUGAAAGACCAAAACAGCAAGAUAUUGGUCAUGUUGACUACAAGAGAAGAACACUGGAAGGUGACUGGAGCUGCAGCUACCAUGGCCCUAUGAUUUAAGGAAACAAGAGUGAUGGAAGUGACUUAAUGGCUUGGCUAGAACUUACAAACGAUACAUGCCAGUGGCCCAAAAUGGCAACUGCUUGAGUUGCCUCUCUCCUCUGCCAUAGUCAACCUAGAGUCUUUCAGAUGUUCUUGGAUCACAACUGCCAUCAGUCCCAGCGUGCAAUGCCAGUGACCAGGAAUUGUGGUUCAGCAACAUCUGGGGGCACCACAUUGGCUACCCCUGAUCUACACAAGAUGAUUCCCUGGACAGGGAGCAGGUGCAAAACGACGUCCCACCCCAAUGUCUCUGUGUACAUUGCUACGCACGCUCAGCCCCCAUCCACCCCUGCAGUGAGCAGAAAAGGUGAUUUGCUAAAGAAGUGACUUGCUGAAGACUACACAGUGAGAACCCAUGUCACCUUGGUCCAAUACCAGCAUUCCACUCACCAGAGUUAAUCCAACUGUAUAGAUUUAGUUCCUGAUGCUGCAAGAUCCAACCCAUUAGCCAUGGUUCUGUGGACAUAGGCCAAAUGAAGGGUGGCCAAAUCAAUUUAUUCCCAGUCCGUGUCCAUUUCACAAGUGUUCACCCAUCAGUCUGUCCCAUCUCAGUUCUGCAUUAACCUUGAAUUUUUACUUCAAAAAUUCUGCAGGAAAAUUCAUAUUUUAAAACAUUUGCUCAGCAUCUUCUCUCAAAAUUUGUGUUUUGAAAUGUAUUUGUACUCAUUUCAAACACUGGAACAUCUGGGAAAUGCAAAAGCUAGUGAUUAAGUCAAUUUCUGUUCGGUGCAGUGGUGCAGAUGAGGUCACUUCAUAAAGGAAUCUGCAAAGCUCAAAUUUGUUGGUCCAGCUCAAUGGCCAGUGGUAGCAGUACACAUUUGUUAUAAAGGAGAUUCAGCAUUGCAAGACCAAUUUAUAUCUCAAAGUGACAAUUUAAUGCAAACAACACAACCAGUCCCAUUGUUCCCUCUCUCAUUUGCAUGAUAGAUUUCUAAUUAUUUGAUUGCAGCUAUGAAUGCAGGACUGACUUCUGGAUUGGGCUUUGUAGUAACACACACACACACACACACACACACACACACACACACCACUGUUUAGAAUGUGGCUCUUGCUAAAGCAGCAACAGAUCCAUGCAAAAAAGUUUAUUUAUUUCAUGGGCAUAUUCUCCGUAUCUGGACUGAGGUGUAGGGCUCCUUGAAGCUUAUUCUGCUUGUUCCUCGUACCCGUUCCUUGCAACAGAGGAAAUGGCAGACUAAUGCACAGCAAUAAGACAGAAAGAUCUAUGUUGCAAUCACAGUGCUGCAGUACUAUGCUUUAGGGGGGGAAAGAGGGAAAAGAUGUAAAGCAAAAAACAAAAAAACAAAAAAACCCAAACUAAUCUUCAAAGCAAAUGAAGCAUCCAAAAAUGAAAUCCAUGAGCCCAUUUUCACUGCUGUUGGAAGCACAUUCCAGUUCCCAUGUAUUGCUCCUGAAGGACACCCACGUUGAAAGCAACAAAUGGCAAAGCACCCUAUUACAAAUAUUGCACCAAUAAAAGGCAUUUUGUACAACUAUUUUCAACAUUAGAGCAAGUUACUAUGGCAAUGUAUUAAAAUCUGCUGAAGUGCUUCCACCAUAUUAUUAUUCUGCAUAAUGAAUAUUACCUUGAUAAAUAUUUAAACUUACUUAAUCAUUUUUAAUUGCUGAUUUUCCCCCACUGGCAUAUACUAACAGCAUUCAUUGCCAGUUCAGAAGAAUUCCCAUUCAGACUACGCUAACCCGGCAAAGAGUUCCCAAAGGGAUCACCCUUGUACUAAAUAAAUAAAUAAAUGUUCCUUAUUCCAUUCAGGAUGCAGUCCAGGAUCUUUGAAAUGCAAUCUUUAAAAAACAAAACAACUACUGAUCAAGUACAAGUGAUCAAAAUAAGAAAACAUACAUGGUCCCUGAAACCACUUCCUUUGAACUAGUUUACCCAAUUUACACUGCAAUCAACCAUAAAAGCAAUUAUUAUGAUCACGUUGUUGUUUGAAAUGAUAUUAUUACAGUGACCAAGCAGCCAAGGUUUUACCAGUCCAAUCUGUUGUGUCAGAUAACCUUUAGGGUCUGGAAAUCCACUAAACUGCAAACUGCAGAGAAGUUUUUAAUGUUUGAUUCUAUUUUUAAUAUUCUGCUGGAAGCCACUCAGAGUGGCUGGGGAAACCCAGCCAGAUGGGCGGGGUAUAAAUUACUACUACUGCUACUACUACUACUACUACUACUACUACUAUUAUUAUUCUGCCCAUGAGCAAGAAUAUUCUGUCAAGUGUCAACCUGUUCAUUCCUGGCUCCAUCUCUAGUCCAUUUGAUUUCCUCAAGCUUCACCUUCAAACCCUAUCCCUGCCUGGGCUGGGUAGCGCUUCUGAAAUCAAAAGAUGUCAAUACUCUCAUAGGUUGUUUUGUACAGCCAGCACCCACUUUUUGUGUGACCAUGUUGUUCAUCCCUGUAUUCCACAAAGCCUUCUGGUCUGCAAACUGGUGCUUCCCAGGAGCAAGACACGCCCAAGUGAAGAAAACAGAAGAAAAGGAACAGUAUUGUACUUCUCAGACUCAAGCAUGACCCAACCUCCAGAAAGCUCAUUGGUCUUCUGCAGCUUGACUUACCUAUUAAUACUUGGUUAUUAUUCAACUAUUCUUUUUUCUUAUUUAGUGAUACACUUUAAUAAGGCAUCCUUUCCAAUGAGAUGAGCAUGCAUGACGGCUUCAGUGAGCAAGGCGUCAGCUACCCACACUGACUGAGCUUGAAUAGUAAUGUACGUGAUGCUACACUUUCCUUCCCUUUUUAUUACUUUUAACAGAGAGGAGGGGGAGUGGAAAUGCACACUGCCAGCAUAUGAAUGAACGGCGGAACAUUUUGUCUGCAAUGUGAACAAUGCGUCUCUCUGAAUACAAGACACACUUGAGCCCUUUGUGAUCUAUUUAUCGCAUGGGCUGCUACAGGAGAGGUCAUGGCAAAGUCAUUUCCUUCCUGUCUUGCAGAAUGUGCCACAGGCAAUUUUUGCAUGUGUUUUUUUUAAUAAAAAUAAAAAUAAUAAAAGGGGAAGGAGGGAGGGAGGGAGGGAGGGAGGGAGGGAGGGAGGGUGGAAGGAAGGAAGGAAGGAAGGAAGGAAACCUUAGACUGUCCUAAGGGGCAGCUGGUAUAAUAAGCCAACAAACUAUGUCUGAAUCUUCCAGCCAUGCUGCAAUGAUUUCAGAUGCUUCACAACACUGACAAAAUUUACUGGUAGUGACAGAUUCACUAUGUUCAAUUCGAAGUCGUAAAUUCCUGCAAAAAUAGUGCUCUCCAGGUAAGGCAAAGCAAAAGUUAUCAAGGCGCUCCCAGCAUUCUGAACAGGAGGAAAGCAAGAAAGGUGUCAGAGCCAGAUAUGGGCUCACCUUGGUCAAUUUGCUGCUCAAUACCAACAUCUCCAUUCACCCACUCGCCUCUCCCUGUCUGAAAUCCUGGACAGUUGCUGCAAGGAUGUGUAGAAAAUACAGAGAUUGAAUGCUCUGACUUGGUCGAAGGCAGCUUCUGAUGUACUACUUGCUUCAAUGCUUCCCAAUCCAGAAGCAUAAUUUUCUUAUGGUUGUUUACAUUUCAUAAAAGUUCACCAUUUCCCCAGCAUGGCUUACUGGGGAUGAAUGAAUGGCUGAAAAUUACUCCCGCCAUGUUGGCAAGAGAACCAGCCAUAUAAUGAAAUCCGGGAGAGGCAGUAUGGUAAGAAUCAUUUCCUGGUUUUUUUUCUACAUGUGCAAGGGUUGAUGUUUACCUUUUGUUUGCUCACACUUCAUGUCUUUAUUCAGACUUUAAAUGGUCACACCCAUCAACAUGAGAGUUCUCGAUUUGUAUUAACUCUCAAAAAUGCUCUUUAUGUCACUGCAUCUCUGUGGUGAGUUGUAGAUCUGAACCAUUUUGUGGGCUCUGCCACUUGACUCUCUCUCUCUCCCCCCUCCUUUUCAUUGUAACUGCUGAGUGUGUCUGUCAAUUACAUACACUAAAACCCUCAUGAAGGUAGCUCUAAUGUAAAACUUCCAUGGCUGCGACUAUUUGCCUUGAGGCCAAGAGUACCUCUGAACACUAAGCAGGGCAGGACCCAGCCCUAUCCAGACAAUAGAUUUUCACUCUGCAGUUCAGAAUCUUUCUGUUAUUUCCCUUGCAUAUAUAUUGGUAAUAAUAGAAGGUGCCAUUCCUGAUAGACAGAAAUUAUGAUGUUUCCUAUCCACAAAUGAUAAGCUAAAAGAUCAAACUCCCAAGACAAGUUUCCUAAUGCCACUUGUCUAUGUUGCCCAACUAUUGGCUUGUCAAAAUCCUAUAAAAUAUUACGCAGUAGUCUAGCUCCCUCGCUUCCCUGCUCAGUUUUUGCUCUUUCCUGUUUGUAUAUUCACAAAAGAACUGACUUAUUGAGUUGGCUGGUAUUGAAUAUUUAUUUAUCAGUGGCCAGAAAUGUGUUGGAAAUAAAGAUAAAUUUAUUGAAGGGGAGCCCAGUCAGACAAUAAAUACACUGCACCUCUAAGAAUAAUAACACAUCUCUCAAUUAACACUAGUAUUAAGAUUAGGGGCAGACUCAAGUAGUAAAGCUUCUCCUGGGUUGUAUCACUUCAGGCUGGUGAUGACAUUGUGGUGUGUUAGAAUGCCCACCAUGGUAAGGAGAAGAAAAAAGAAACCAUCCCUACAAACAGGGGGGGGGGGGGAAUGUCCUAAGAAGCAGAAGGCCACACUGAAUCUGUCUCCCCAUUUUGUUCAUUUUCUUUUAGAUCUAUAGACCAGGGAUGGAGAACCUUCUGGCCUUCCAACUCCAACUCCCAUCAGCCCCAGCCAACAUGGCCAAUGGCCAGGGAUUAUGUGAGUUGUAGUCUACAGGAGGAUUUGGUGAUGCCACCUUCCUGUUUCUGCUUGAAGUAGUAGAGUCCAGAAGCAGCUUCUUCACUUGAUUCUUCUAAAUGUAUUAAACUGAUCCUUGAAUAAUAAAUUUUUGAUGCCAUUCCUUCUGAGAAUAAGAGAUUCACACGUCCAAAGGUUCAUCUUCCGAGAGGUAAAUCCAGCUUAACUGACACAGGAAGUACAAUGCGACACAACCAGAAACUGAGCCAUGCAUUUAUUCAUGAGAUUAACAGCAGAAGGCAAAGCUUAGCAUGGAAAAAACAAGAGAGUGCAAAGAAACUGAUUAUCAAGGAAGUCCAGGCACAAGUGUCUCCCUCCUAAAUUCCUAGAAUACCGAUAUGAGCAAAGAGGCAAGAUUAUAUAUCCUUACAAUUUUGUGGCCAGUCACCCCCGUCACUCGCUUUUCAUCUACAGCAUCAGCGCAUACUGUACAGAAAUGCAUUCCUAAGCCUACUUAGAAGUAAUUCCCAAUGAAAUCAAGCAACUCUCCUGCAUUUUGCUGAUCUUCUCCAAUUCUCAUUGCUUACUCUCUCUUUUUUGGGGGGGCAAAGAAAGAAAGAAAGCCAUUCUGAAACAGGUGCAGGUUGUUGAAUUUGAUAAUACAAGUGCAACUGCCCAAAACAUUUUGACAGAAUAUCUUCUUUGAGGAAGAACCUUCCCGAAACCAGAGAACAUACAAACUCGUACCUGCAGAGUACUUAUGGUCACAGGGGUGCGUCCGUAGCAUGGACAAGAUGACUGGAUGGUGAACUAUUGGGCAGGGAGUAUAUAGCUCAGUGAUAGGGCACCUGAUCUGCAUCUAGAAGACUCCAGGUUCAAGCCUUGGCAUCUCUGGUUUCAGAAAGUGGUGAUGUGAAAGAUCUCUUCCUGAGUCCCUGAAGAAAGGCUUCAUAAAGUGGCUAGCCUGGUGCGAGGCCAGUUUCCUAACUGCCAGGUUAACUGAAUUAAUAAAUAUUGUAAGGAAUUAGAGAAUGUGGCUAGUCAGUUAUCUGUUCCAGCAAAUAUGGAGCCUGAGUGCUGAAUGGAGUGAAGUCAUUCCGUUCUGGAAAAUGUGUUACAGACAACAUGAUAAUACAGAUAAUGAAGAUAAUACAGGUAGCCUUUCUUUGUGUGCCCCCACCAGAAGGCCUUUUCAGUGGAAUGUUCUCCUCAGGGAGGCAUGCUUGGCGCCAUCUUUUUUCUAUUUGUAGGCACCAGGCAAUGGCUUUUCUCUUUACUUGGCCCUUAAUUUUAAAGGUGGCCUUGUGGCCUCUUUUAGUGGGGUACAAUCAAUAACACUCUCUCCUGAAAGCAGUGAUGGG
This 10051-nucleotide long non-coding RNA is filed under the name Podarcis lilfordi (Lilford's wall lizard). Lineage: Eukaryota; Metazoa; Chordata; Lepidosauria; Squamata; Lacertidae. The record is from RNAcentral.